AAGCCUGUCCCAGUUCGGACUGGAGUCUNCAACCCGACUCCACGAAGUUGGAUUCGCUAGUAAUCGCGCAUCAGCCAUGGCGCGGUGAAUACGUUCCCGGGCCUUGUACACACCGCCCGUCAAGCCAUGGGAGCCGGGGGCGCCUGAAGUCCGGGACCGCGAGGACCGGCCUAGGGCGAAACUGGUAACUGGGGCUAAGUCGUAACAAGGUAGC
Molecule: ribosomal RNA, 214 nt
Filed under: uncultured bacterium
Lineage: Bacteria
Description: partial 16S ribosomal RNA
Rfam family: Bacterial small subunit ribosomal RNA
Source: RNAcentral